UACGUUUUUGACCUGCUGGGCACAUAUGCCGUGCUUUCUCUCCCACCCUGCCGACCGCUCGCGCCAUCCAGACCUCACUCUGAGAAACCGCCGGCCGGUACAAUGGUCGUCUGCAAAUGCCGGAAGGCAACAAAGCUCUAUUGUUUCGUACAUAAAGUUCCUGUUUGCGGUGAAUGCAUUUGUUUCCAGGAGCACCAGAUAUGCGUGGUACGUGCUUAUUCUGAAUGGGUCAUAGAUGGUGAAUAUGAUUGGCCACCAACCUGCUGCAUGUGCCGGGCAGUUCUAGAUGAUGCAUCAGAUUGUCAAACUACCCGGCUUGGCUGCUUGCAUGUUAUUCACACAAGCUGCUUGGUAUCCCAUAUACAGAAAUUUCCUCCUAAUACUGCUCCUGCAGGAUAUAUCUGUCCAGCGUGCUCUUCUCCAAUAUGGCCUCCAAAGAAUAUUAAAGAUUCUUCAUCUCGCCUUCAUUUGAAUUUGAAGGAAUCAAUGAUCCAGAGUGGCCUAGAAAAGAACAUUCUUGGAAACCAAGUUGCAUUUCCGAAAGCAGAAUCCCGAGCUCCUCCUCCUGCAUUCUCAUCAGGCCCACUUAUGGGAAUAUCUCCUGAAGUUGAAGAUAUGGGCCUAAAGCCCUCUACCUUGAAAGAGGAAAGCUUGGCUGGUGGAUAUCCAUUAGAUUCUGGCACUGCAAGGCUAUCAGUGGAAGAUAUCAUUGAGAUCAAUGGUCCGAGCUCUAUGGGGAAGCAAUUUACCCCAAGUCAGGAGUCAAACUUCUCUAAAAACUUAAGUCCUGUUGGUCCUGGUGCCACAACGAGAAAGAGUGCUGGUUACAAUGUUGAUCGACAUAAUUCAGAAGUUUCAUAUUAUGCGGAUGAUGAAGAUGGAACACAAAAGAAGUAUUCUCGUAGAGGCCCUUUCCAUCAUAAGUUCCUCAGACUUUUGCUGCCUUUCUGGUCAAGUGCAUUGCCAACAUUGCCUGUGACUGCACCUCCACGUAAAGAUAGGGAAGGGAAUGCAACAGAUGACAUUAAUGAAGGGCGGUCACGGCAUUCAAAAUCUUCAAGGAUGGAUCCCAGAAAAAUGCUUCUCUUUCUGGCAAUCAUGGCAUGCAUGGCGACCAUGGUUAUACUGUACUAUAGGAUUGCACAACGCAAUCUUUUGGAAGCUGUACCUGAAGAUGGCAAAGAAUGAGGGUGAAGAUCAAGAGCUAAGGGGGACUACUUUACGUGCCUGUCAUCCGCGCCUUGGAGGAUCUAAGAAGCUAGGGUGCUGCCAGUCAAAACAAGGGGCUAUACAGUUACAGUGACCCUGCUAAGUGUUAUAUAGUUUCUUUUAUAAGUAAUAUAUACAUUUAUAUAGAUGUAUAUAUGUAACACUUUUGAUUUUCACAGGUGGAGCAGGAGCAGACCUAGACCCAAGCUCCACGCUCGAACAGGAGGUUGACGUCACUCCUUUCUCGCUCAUUUCCCCCUCUUCGUUUCUUCCUCUACCGUGUUGCAGAGAAGAGGAAGGCGGAUGGUGUGGCAGUGGUGGCAACUGGACCGGCGAAGGAAGGGCGAGGGCGUUGCAUGACUUGGGGACGUGUUCUUUCCCCUCAUAACAGCAAGUAGAUGGCAUUGGUGGUGGCGGCAUUGCACGAUUUCUGCCAUUUGGAGAUCGUUUGAAUGCUUGGGGUGGCUGCCGGAAGCAUCACAACAGUUUGGACUCUUAAAUUAAAGUACACCGGGCACGUCCAGUAGACCUUGAGCAACAAGACAUGAAGCUCAAGGCAUUUUGAAGUGUUUUGUGGACGCAGGACAGGUUUUGGCAGACCUGGGGCAACAAGUUGAUCAGAUGGUUGAACUCA
Molecule: RNA transcript, 1843 nt
Organism: Nymphaea colorata (pocket water lily)
Lineage: Eukaryota; Viridiplantae; Streptophyta; Magnoliopsida; Nymphaeales; Nymphaeaceae
Exons: 13
Source: RefSeq, a predicted model, not a curated record